Molecule: ribosomal RNA, 936 nt
Filed under: uncultured bacterium
Lineage: Bacteria
Description: bacterial SSU rRNA
Rfam family: Bacterial small subunit ribosomal RNA
Source: RNAcentral
GGCGACGAUCAGUAACUGGUCUGAGAGGAUGACCAGUCACACUGGGACUGAGACACGGCCCAGACUCCUACGGAAGGCAGCAGUGGGGAAUUUUCCGCAAUGGGCGAAAGCCUGACGGAGCAAUACCGCGUGAGGGAGGAAGGCUCUUGGGUUGUAAACCUCUUUUCUCAGGGAAGAACACAAUGACGGUACCUGAGGAAUCAGCAUCGGCUAACUCCGUGCCAGCAGCCGCGGUAAUACGGAGGAUGCAAGCGUUAUCCGGAAUGAUUGGGCGUAAAGCGUCCGCAGGUGGCUUAUCAAGUCGAUUGUCAAAGGUCCUGGCUCAACUGGGAACAGGCAGUGGAAACUGAAAAGCUAGAGUGCGGUAGGGGUAGAGGGAAUUCCCGGUGUAGCGGUGAAAUGCGUAGAGAUCGGGAAGAACACCAGUGGCGAAAGCGCUCUACUAGGCCUGCACUGACACUCAGGGACGAAAGCUAGGGGAGCGAAUGGGAUUAGAUACCCCAGUAGUCCUAGCCGUAAACGAUGGAUACUAGGCGUUGAGAGUAUCGACCCUCUCAGUGCCGUAGCUAACGCGUUAAGUAUCCCGCCUGGGGAGUACGCACGCAAGUGUGAAACUCAAAGGAAUUGACGGGGGCCCGCACAAGCGGUGGAGUAUGUGGUUUAAUUCGAUGCAACGCGAAGAACCUUACCAGGGCUUGACAUGUCCGGAACCUCUGGGAAACCAGGGGGUGCCUUCGGGAGCCGGAACACAGGUGGUGCAUGGCUGUCGUCAGCUCGUGUCGUGAGAUGUUGGGUUAAUUUACGCAAGCGAGCGCAACCCUCGUGCUUAGUUGCCAUCAUUAAGUUGGGAACUCUAAGCAGACUGCCGGUGACAAACCGGAGGAAGGUGGGGAUGACGUCAAGUCAGCAUGCCCCUUACGCUCUGGGCUACACACG